Molecule: ribosomal RNA, 438 nt
Filed under: uncultured bacterium
Lineage: Bacteria
Description: bacterial SSU rRNA
Rfam family: Bacterial small subunit ribosomal RNA
Source: RNAcentral
GCUUAACGCGAAGAACCUUACCCAGACUUGACAUGCACUAGACCGCUUCAGAAAUGAAGCUUCCCUUCGGGGCUGGUGCACAGGUGCUGCAUGGCUGUCGUCAGCUCGUGCCGUGAGGUGUUGGGUUAAGUCCCGCAACGAGCGCAACCCUUAUCAUUAGUUGCCAACACGUAAUGGUGGGAACUCUAAUGAGACUGCCUGGGUUAACCAGGAGGAAGGUGAGGAUGACGUCAAGUCCGCAUGGCCCUUAUGUCUGGGGCUACACACGUGCUACAAUGGUCGGUAUAAAAGGCAGCGAAACCGUGAGGUGAAGCAAAUCCCGAAAGCUGGCCCCAGCUCAGAUUGUAGUCUGCAACUCGACUACAUGAAGAUGGAAUUGCCAGUAAUGGCGAGUCAGCAACAUCGCCGUGAAUACGUUCCCGGGUCUUGUACACACCG